CUUCAGACUAAGUGCUUCAAUGCUGCGUGUUCAGUGGAGUCCAGGAUUCAGGAGGAGUCAGAUUGUUACAUAAACAUAGUGACUCAGGAGUCAUGCAUUUAAACGAUUCAGGAGGAAUCGGAUUUGCGAGUCAGCAGGCAUCAGUAAGACACGAAUCUGGCUCUGCAGCUCUGUGUCACAUGUCCACUAGGUGAACUGAUGAAUCGGUUCAUGAACCGGUUCACUUUAACGAACCGUCCGAAAUGAACCGAUUCAUCUAAAUGAAUCGAACUUCCCAUCUCUACACAGCAUAAUACAAACACUGUUUCAUUAAAUUUGGCAUAUAACAUUCAAAUAUGCAUACUUUUUCAGGAAGUAUUAGAAUAGCUACACUCACUGCAGCUUUAAUAAAAAGUUUAUAUUCUUAACUGUAGCAAUUCCAAAGACUGCUACAGAACCACCUGAAAUAGCCAGGAUAAACAACCAACUUCUAAAAGCAUUAUUCAAGUGUUUUAUAUCACUCUGUACUAGACUCUAAAAACACCCCAUUUAAUUUAGGGUGACAUGUCAAAUAAAACAUAAAUAUAUAAAAAACAUAUAGAAAACAAUGUAAUAAUAAAAUAUAACUCUAACGAAAAGAAGGGAAGGGAUUCGGGGGAGGGAUAAAUGAUAAAACUCACAACCAUACAUUGAAUUAUCACUCUAUGCAAAAUAUAUGCAAAUUAGUCUAUUUUCCUAGUACACACUUUGGUGAUGAACCUGCUACCAAUAGAUGGAGCUGUGUUACACGUCAUGGAACUUUCAACCAACAGAUGGCGCUAUGGCAUGUCACACAAUGUCCAAUUAUUUAGGAGUCUGCACUGACUAACUAAACGGCAUGCCUGUCAAAAGCACUGAGAUAAGGGGGCAGUCUACAGAGGAUUAGAUACAAG
Molecule: long non-coding RNA, 911 nt
Organism: Bombina bombina (fire-bellied toad)
Lineage: Eukaryota; Metazoa; Chordata; Amphibia; Anura; Bombinatoridae
Exons: 2
Source: RefSeq, a predicted model, not a curated record